AUGGGGAAUUUCCGGAGGAGAGGCCCGGCGGCGCUCUUCCUGCUCUGGUUCCUGGCGACGGGCUUCGAGCUGUGCGCGGCCCUGAAUCACGAAGGUCUUGCGCUUCUGAGGUUUAGGGAGAUGGUAGAGGCUGAUCCGCGCGGUGCUCUGGCGGAUUGGGAUGAAGGGCACGCUAGCCCUUGUUCUUGGUUCGGCGUGCGGUGCUCGGAUGAUGGCCGGGUCGUAGGCCUGAACUUGUCAAAUCUUGGUCUGAAAGGCGUGUUAUCUCCUGAGAUUGGACAGCUUAUUAAUAUGCAUUCUCUUGUACUGCACAAGAACUUGUUCUAUGGUAUUAUCCCUAGAGAGAUAGGAGAUUUACGGGAGUUGAAGGUGUUGGAUCUGGGGUACAAUAACUUCAAUGGAUCAAUUCCAUCAGAGCUAAUAAACAUUUUAUCCCUGGAGUUUAUCUUUCUUAAAGGAAACAGACUUUAUGGUGAUUUACCUCUUGAGCUAAAUGAGCUCAUCAGUCUUUGUGAGUCUCAGGUUCACCAAGGCAGGGCUUUGUCAAAUAGGAUGCCCACUGCAAGUUAUUCACUAUGUAGGGGUAAGGACAGCGCUACAACCAGAAGACUUCUAGCAGGCAAACAAAAUCAUUCUCCAAAGAACGAGAUGCUUGGUUCUGAAAAUUCUGUAUUAGAACCAUCAGAUGUGAGCCCUUUUUUUAAGCUCCAUGAACCCCACAAGGAUCCAACACCACCAGUUUCGCCCCAUGCCCUGACACCACCUCCUCCUUCUGAACCUGCUCCUUCCCUUGCCUCUCUUGCAUCUCCCAACAAAAACCAAACCGCAAGCAAAGGGAGCAAGAGCAAGAGCGGGAAGAGCAAUGUGACGAUAUAUGCAUUAAUAGGAGCAGCGAUUUGUUUUGUGGUUCUAUCCUUGUCAGCUGCAAUAUUUAUUUGCUACCGCCGUGGGAAGGCUAGCAGUGUUGUGCCCAUGUCUUCAAGUAGGGAACUGCAGACCACUAUCCUGGGAGGCAUAGCUUUAUUCAGACGGUCAGAACUUGAAACAGCCUGUGAAGAUUUCAGUAAUGUAAUCGGUACGCUACCUGGAUGUACAUUGUAUAAAGGAACUCUCCCAUGUGGAGCUGAAAUAGCUGUUGCGUCUACACUGAUAAAACAUGCCUACGGGUGGUCUGCUAUAGCCGAAGCACAAUUCAAGAAUAAGGUUGAAAUGUUGUCGCGGGUGAACCAUAAGAAUUUCCUGAAACUUGUGGGUUACUGUGAAGACGAAAAACCAUUUACCCGGAUGAUGGUGUUUGAGUAUGUUUCAAAUGGAUCACUAUUUGAGCACUUGCACGUUAAUGAGGCAGAGCACUUGAACUGGCAGUCGCGCCUGCGGAUGGCGAUGGGAGUAAUAUACUGCCUUUACCACAUGUACCAGCAGUAUCCUCCUGUGAUCCUAAGGAAUCUGAACUCGUCGUGCAUAUACCUGACCGAAGACAACGCUGCAAAGAUUUCAGACAUCAGUUUCGGCGAUGACUGGAAAGAAGGCGAGGACGAAUUCGAUGAGCCUGAAGAGUGCACCAUAGUGUAUAGGUUUGCCUUGCUUCUGCUUGAGACGAUCUCUGGAAGGCGUCCGUUCUCCAAUGACACCGGCCUCCUGAUUCUGUGGGCGCACCGGUACCUCACCGGCGAAAAGCCCUUGACGGGUAUGGUCGACCCGACACUGAGAUCAGUCCCCUUGGAGCAGGUAGCGGCGCUGACAGAGCUGGUGAAAUUGUGCAUAAGGGAUGACCCCUGGCGGAGGCCGUCGGUGGGGGAGGUCACCCGGCGGAUGCAAGAGAUCACUGGGUUCUCUCAGGAUCAGUCGACCCCAAGGAAUAGCGCAUUGUGGUGGGCUGAGCUUGAAAUCCUAACGGUAUAG
Molecule: ribosomal RNA, 1902 nt
Filed under: Triticum aestivum (bread wheat)
Lineage: Eukaryota; Viridiplantae; Streptophyta; Magnoliopsida; Poales; Poaceae
Description: partial small subunit ribosomal RNA
Source: RNAcentral